UACGUAGGGUGCGAGCGUUGUCCGGAAUUAUUGGGCGUAAAGAGCUUGUAGGUGGUUUGUCGCGUCUGCUGUGAAAAUCCGAGGCUCAACCUCGGACUUGCAGUGGGUACGGGCAGACUAGAGUGUGGUAGGGGAGACUGGAAUUCCUGGUGUAGCGGUGGAAUGCGCAGAUAUCAGGAGGAACACCGGUGGCGAAGGCGGGUCUCUGGGCCGAUGACUGACGCUGGAGGAGCGAAAGCGUGGGGAGUGAACAGG
This 255-nucleotide ribosomal RNA is filed under the name uncultured bacterium. RNAcentral describes it as "partial 16S ribosomal RNA". It matches the Rfam family "Bacterial small subunit ribosomal RNA", at positions 524 to 776 of the family's 1533-position model. The record is from RNAcentral.